This 460-nucleotide ribosomal RNA is filed under the name uncultured bacterium. RNAcentral's name for it is "partial 16S ribosomal RNA". It matches the Rfam family "Bacterial small subunit ribosomal RNA", at positions 338 to 795 of the family's 1533-position model. The record is from RNAcentral.
CCUACGGGUGACAGCAGUGAGGAAUAUUGGUCAAUGGACGAGAGUCUGAACCAGCCAAGUAGUGUGAAGGAUGACUGCCCUAUGGGUUGUAAACUUCUUUUAUAUGGGAAUAAAAUGUUCCACGUGUGGGAUUUUGUAUGUACCAUAUGAAUAAGGAUCGGCUAACUCCGUGCCAGCAGCCGCGGUAAUACGGAGGAUCCGAGCGUUAUCCGGAUUUAUUGGGUUUAACGGGAGCGUAGGUGGAUUGUUAAGUCAGUUGUGAAAGUUUGCGGCUCAACCGUAAAAUUGCAGUUGAAACUGGCAGUCUUGAGUACAGUAGAGGUGGGCGGAAUUCGUGGUGUAGCGGUGAAAUGCUUAGAUAUCACGAAGAACUCCGAUUGCGAAGGCAGUUCACUGGACUGCAACUGACACUGAGGCUCGAAAGUGUGGGUAUCAAACAGGAUUAGAUACCCGAGUAGUC